RNAcentral lists this long non-coding RNA (205 nucleotides) under Gossypium raimondii (Peruvian cotton). RNAcentral describes it as "long non-coding RNA (GRAI_LNC011290)". Lineage: Eukaryota; Viridiplantae; Streptophyta; Magnoliopsida; Malvales; Malvaceae. The record is from RNAcentral.
AACAUUUACUAUAGAAUCCUAAAACAGCCCAUAUGAUCAAACACUAUUUACACAUAACAUGGGCCAUGGCUAGUGAGAAGCAUAAAUUAAUUACUCAAAAAAAACCCACUACCCACUGAUCAGAAGGCAAAAAUAAAAAAUAAAAAGGACCCUACUAACCCAGAAUUUGAUAGUUUUCUAUGUUACAAUCAAACAAAGCCUCCCC